CAUGUAGCUUCUGAACUACAGUCAAUAACCAUGGCAGUCAUCAUGGCAGCCAUCAAGACAUUAUUACAGGAGGAACAUCAUCAACCCUCAUUCCUUGUUGCUUCCUGGUGGUUUGUGAAACCUUAAAUCCAGAACACACGGUCCUUAAACGUUCCACACAGUGACUUAAAACUGCCUAUUCAGACACUGAUGGUGUUAAAUGGAUGAUAAACCCACUGAUGAAGGGCAGGAUCUUUCCACUGAGUAUACGGAUGAAUGCAAAGAGAUGUUCCCAACAGUUUAUUUAACGCAGGAGGUCAGAGAUGAUAAAAGCUGCAUCAUCCACCUUCUUCUCACUGCGGCUCUCAUGAUUAAAGAUGCUUCAUCCUCUGGAGAGGCGGAUGGAUGGAAGCUAACAUCCGCCUGAUUAAUGUGCAAAUCAGACUCCCCCGUCCAGUUUGGAGUAGAAUAACUCACACUAGAU
Amphiprion ocellaris (clown anemonefish) is the source of this 463-nucleotide long non-coding RNA. The record is from Ensembl. Lineage: Eukaryota; Metazoa; Chordata; Actinopteri; Pomacentridae.